Long non-coding RNA from Ornithorhynchus anatinus (platypus), 286 nucleotides. RefSeq lists it as uncharacterized. The transcript has 3 exons. The record is from RefSeq and is a predicted model, not a curated record. Lineage: Eukaryota; Metazoa; Chordata; Mammalia; Monotremata; Ornithorhynchidae.
AGCUGCCCUGGGUAUAGGGGGCCAACCGGCCAGCAGACGGCAUCCCUCCCGCUCUGCCCCUCCGGCUCCCCUCCGGACCCCGGGGUCCGGCCAUCCCAGCCCCUCCCCGGCCCUGGGGGACCCCUCCCCGCGCUCCGCCCGCCAUGGCUUCAAGGAUACUCUACGAACUGCACAGGGGCCUUGGACAUCGGGAAGGCCACCACCAUGGCUGCAACUGGGAAUUCUGUAAACCGUUGGACUGAGGCACAGAGAAGGGAAGUGACUUGCCCACAGUCACACAGCUGAC